RNAcentral lists this transfer-messenger RNA (360 nucleotides) under Nasibacterium caprae. Its description in RNAcentral is "Moraxella sp. ZY210820 transfer-messenger RNA". It matches the Rfam family "transfer-messenger RNA". From Rfam's summary of the family: Bacterial tmRNA, also known as 10Sa RNA or SsrA, is named for its dual tRNA and mRNA-like properties. Its role is to liberate the mRNA from a stalled ribosome. To accomplish this part of the tmRNA is used as a reading frame that ends in a translation stop signal. RNAcentral also lists the same sequence under 1 other name. Lineage: Bacteria; Pseudomonadati; Pseudomonadota; Gammaproteobacteria; Moraxellales; Moraxellaceae. The record is from RNAcentral.
GGGGAUGUUAUUGGCUUCGACGUUAGUAAUGAAACUCAUAGAUGCAUGUCGAGAGUGCGUUUUCUCUCGUAAAUAAAAUACGCAAUUUAAAUAGUCGCAAACGACGAAACUUACGCUCUAGCUGCCUAAGGGCGCUUGUCCGCCUAGUAGAAUACUUGUGGUCUACUAGCCCGACUGAAGCGAACGCACACAAGUCCGUAUAACGUCAAGUCUCGGGGCGAUAUACCAAAUUUAGAGAAUCGCUCUUUGCACCCUGUUCGUUGGGUCGCUUAGGGUUAAAACAAUAAACGAUAUCUAAGCAUGUAGUAUUCUCGAGUGUAGUGCUUACGGACGCGGGUUCAACUCCCGCCAUCUCCACCA